This 432-nucleotide ribosomal RNA is filed under the name uncultured bacterium. RNAcentral's name for it is "partial 16S ribosomal RNA". It matches the Rfam family "Bacterial small subunit ribosomal RNA", at positions 29 to 507 of the family's 1533-position model. The record is from RNAcentral.
AACGAACGCUGGCGGCAUGCCUAACACAUGCAAGUCGAACGAGACCUUCGGGUCUAGUGGCGCACGGGUGCGUAACGCGUGGGAACCUGCCCUUAGGUUCGGAAUAACUCCCCGAAAGGGGUGCUAAUACCGGAUAAUGUCUUCGGACCAAAGAUUUAUCGCCUUUGGAUGGGCCCGCGUUGGAUUAGCUAGUUGGUAGGGUAAAAGCCUACCAAGGCGACGAUCCAUAGCUGGUCUGAGAGGAUGAUCAGCCACACUGGGACUGAGACACGGCCCAGACUCCUACGGGGGGAAGCAGGGGGGAAUAUGGGACAAGGGGCGAAGGCCUGAUCCAGCAAGGCCGCGUGGGUGAUGAGGGCCUUAGGGUUGUAAGCUCUUUUACCCGGGAUGAUAAUGACAGUACCGGGAGAAUAAGCUCCGGCUAACUCCGUG